This 456-nucleotide long non-coding RNA is filed under the name Vitis vinifera (wine grape). Its description in RNAcentral is "long non-coding RNA (VVIN_LNC008178)". Lineage: Eukaryota; Viridiplantae; Streptophyta; Magnoliopsida; Vitales; Vitaceae. The record is from RNAcentral.
UUUUUUGGCUUGACCAUGGGGGAAAAUCUUACCAUCAAUGCUCUUAUGAUAACCAAUAAAUGCAGUCUUUGUAAAGCCAUUGAGGAAUCAACAAACCAUGUAGUCAUCCAUUGCGAAAGAACUAGAAAGAUGUGGGAUUGAUUGUUAGCAAUCUUUAGGUUCAAUGGGUAUUUCCAAAAUCUAGUGUUAUUAAAGGCGAUCGCUUGGGUUGCCUAGGCCAUUAGGCUAGGUGAGGUAGAUGAAAGUUGCCUCUUCAAGACCCAGGCAAGGUGGCUUCAAAUAGGCAACACCUAGGUGAUCGCCUUGGGAUAAGGUGCAACACAUAGAGGUGAUCGCUUUUGACCAUAAGUUAAAAUUAAACAUACUUGGAUUAUAAUUUCAUUCAAUCUAACAUUGGAUUAACCAAAAUAUAAGAUGAAAUAUUAUAUUAUCAAUCAUAGAGAUAAUGAGAUGGAG